This 826-nucleotide long non-coding RNA is filed under the name Ananas comosus (pineapple). RNAcentral describes it as "long non-coding RNA (ACOM_LNC009323)". Lineage: Eukaryota; Viridiplantae; Streptophyta; Magnoliopsida; Poales; Bromeliaceae. The record is from RNAcentral.
UUUUUUUUUAAAGAUUCCCUAGCUUCAGUGUGCUGAGUGGUGCAAGAAUUAUUGCAGAAGUUCCCUAGAAAACUCUUAUUGGCGGCAGGUUCUUACAUGCAGAAAAAUGGAGAGUUAUGUCAAGUGUAUUUUUUUAGUAGCCACUUCUGUUAUGGAAUGGUUUUUGUAAAAUUGUGCGCCAUUAUGUUCCCAAUUCUUCAAAGGCGGUUCCAUUUUACUUAUCUCCAUUGGAUGUUUAAUUUCUUUAAUUUUAGAGGAACACUAUUGACAUAAAUUGAUAAGAAAGUCAUUAUCUAUUUGUUUGCUUCAAGCUACUUAUCUGUCCCUUCUUCAGCGCUCUCUUUAUUCUUCUUUAUGCCCUCUUUGUUCUUCUUUAUGCCUUAAUAAGUGUGAAUUGCUCUUGCAAUUAGGGCAAAAGGGGAAGUAGCAAACAGGGCGAUGAAAGGUACUUUAUAUAUAUAUAUGAAAACGUUGGAUUCUUAUGAGAAUAAAGGGUUUGGUUUAAGGAGAGGUUAUGAGAAUGAAGCUCUCAUGAAAAGAAAAACAAUCAAAUUAAAUAUGCAUUAAUUUAGAGAUUUUUAUUUGUUUAAGUUACUAAUUACUUUGUAGAAUAAAAGGUUUGGUUUAAGAAGAGGUAAUGAGAAUUAAGCAUAGCUUGUCACGUGGCAAAAGAUAUUGAGGUUUCAUAUAGGUUUAUAGAUAAUAUAAAAUAAUUUUGGGUUCUAGUUUGGAUUGGGUAUAGUUAAAAUUUAUAUUUAAAUUCAUGUUCGUCGAAUUUUUAUUUUUGAUAUUUAUAUUCGAAAACAUAUUCGUUUGGCAUCAGAUA